This 481-nucleotide ribosomal RNA is filed under the name uncultured bacterium. RNAcentral describes it as "partial 16S ribosomal RNA". It matches the Rfam family "Bacterial small subunit ribosomal RNA", at positions 28 to 507 of the family's 1533-position model. The record is from RNAcentral.
GAUGAACGCUGGCGGCGUGCCUAACACAUGCAAGUCGAACGGAGAUUACGGACGGAAGUUUUCGGAUGGAAGCCUGUAAUUCUUAGUGGCGGACGGGUGAGUAACGCGUGGGCAACCUGCCCUAUACAGGGGGAUAGCAGCUGGAAACGGCUGGUAAGACCGCAUAAGUCGGUUAAAUCGCAUGAUUUGAUCGGGAAAUGAGCAAUCAGGUAUAGGAUGGGCCCGCGUCCGAUUAGCCAGUUGGCAGGGUAAAAGCCUACCAAAGCGACGAUCGGUAGCCGGACUGAGAGGUCGGACGGCCACAUUGGGACUGAGACACGGCCCAAACUCCUACGGGAGGCAGCAGUGGGGGAUAUUGCACAAUGGAGGAAACUCUGAUGCAGCGACGCCGCGUGAGUGAAGAAGUACUUCGGUAUGUAAAGCUCUAUCAGCAGGGAAGAUGAUGACGGUACCUGACGAAGAAGCCCCGGCUAACUACGUG